Long non-coding RNA from Leptopilina boulardi, 551 nucleotides. RefSeq lists it as uncharacterized. Lineage: Eukaryota; Metazoa; Arthropoda; Insecta; Hymenoptera; Figitidae. The record is from RefSeq and is a predicted model, not a curated record. The transcript has 4 exons.
AUAAUGACUAGUUGAAAAGCUUUUAGCUAUAUAUGAAAAAAAAAAUUUAAUCAAUGCGGUUGGAGUAUAGCGUCUAUAGACUCUGUAGACAAAACUAAAACAUGAAUCAGUUUUGGUCUAUAUGUUUAAUUUACACUAUUCACUGCAAGAAAGUUUCUCUUCUAUUUGAUACUAAAAACUUUGAUUCUUUUUUUUUAAUAAUUGUAUAACAUGAAUUCAGUCCGACAAGGAAUUUUGCCUCAUAUAUGUGAACAGUAAAUGAAUAAUAGCCCACAUAGCACGACUUCUUGCUGUGAGGUUACUGAAUUGUAUGGUUCUGCUGGAGAGGGUGGGAUUAUGCGUUAAAGAUGGCUACGAUGAUGAUCAAAGCUAAUGGUCCAGUGGCUGCUGCAAAAAAACAACAUCUCAUCAAGAAGAGAGAAUAUUGCUCACCCUUGUUAGAAUAACAUUCGUAUAUGAUUGACGGUUGUUUUUUUUCUUAUCUCAUCUUGCUGAUAUUGUUGAAAAUUGAAUUCCAUAAAACGAUUGGCGGACGUCUCUGUUAUUUGUAC